Molecule: ribosomal RNA, 1327 nt
Filed under: uncultured bacterium
Lineage: Bacteria
Description: bacterial SSU rRNA
Rfam family: Bacterial small subunit ribosomal RNA
Source: RNAcentral
GCUAAUACCGCAUAACGUCGCAAGACCAAAGAGGGGGACCUUCGGGCCUCUUGCCAUCGGAUGUGCCCAGAUGGGAUUAGCUAGUAGGUGGGGUAACGGCUCACCUAGGCGACGAUCCCUAGCUGGUCUGAGAGGAUGACCAGCCACACUGGAACUGAGACACGGUCCAGACUCCUACGGGAGGCAGCAGUGGGGAAUAUUGCACAAUGGGCGCAAGCCUGAUGCAGCCAUGCCGCGUGUAUGAAGAAGGCCUUCGGGUUGUAAAGUACUUUCAGCGGGGAGGAAGGGAGUAAAGUUAAUACCUUUGCUCAUUGACGUUACCCGCAGAAGAAGCACCGGCUAACUCCGUGCCAGCAGCCGCGGUAAUACGGAGGGUGCAAGCGUUAAUCGGAAUUACUGGGCGUAAAGCGCACGCAGGCGGUUUGUUAAGUCAGAUGUGAAAUCCCCGGGCUCAACCUGGGAACUGCAUCUGAUACUGGCAAGCUUGAGUCUCGUAGAGGGGGGUAGAAUUCCAGGUGUAGCGGUGAAAUGCGUAGAGAUCUGGAGGAAUACCGGUGGCGAAGGCGGCCCCCUGGACGAAGACUGACGCUCAGGUGCGAAAGCGUGGGGAGCAAACAGGAUUAGAUACCCUGGUAGUCCACGCCGUAAACGAUGUCGACUUGGAGGUUGUGCCCUUGAGGCGUGGCUUCCGGAGCUAACGCGUUAAGUCGACCGCCUGGGGAGUACGGCCGCAAGGUUAAAACUCAAAUGAAUUGACGGGGGCCCGCACAAGCGGUGGAGCAUGUGGUUUAAUUCGAUGCAACGCGAAGAACCUUACCUGGUCUUGACAUCCACGGAAGUUUUCAGAGAUGAGAAUGUGCCUUCGGGAACCGUGAGACAGGUGCUGCAUGGCUGUCGUCAGCUCGUGUUGUGAAAUGUUGGGUUAAGUCCCGCAACGAGCGCAACCCUUAUCCUUUGUUGCCAGCGGUCCGGCCGGGAACUCAAAGGAGACUGCCAGUGAUAAACUGGAGGAAGGUGUGGAUGACGUCAAGUCAUCAUGGCCCUUACGACCAGGGCUACACACGUGCUACAAUGGCGCAUACAAAGAGAAGCGACCUCGCGAGAGCAAGCGGACCUCAUAAAGUGCGUCGUAGUCCGGAUUGGAGUCUGCAACUCGACUCCAUGAAGUCGGAAUCGCUAGUAAUCGUGGAUCAGAAUGCCACGGUGAAUACGUUCCCGGGCCUUGUACACACCGCCCGUCACACCAUGGGAGUGGGUUGCAAAAGAAGUAGGUAGCUUAACCUUCGGGAGAACGCUUACCACUUUGUGAUUCAUGACUGGGGUGAAG